UAGGGAAUCUUCCGCAAUGGACGCAAGUCUGACGGAGCAACGCCGCGUGAGUGAAGAAGGAUUUCGGUUCGUAAAACUCUGUUGUUAGAGAAGAACAGCGCAUAGAGUAACUGUUAUGCGUGUGACGGUAUCUAACCAGAAAGCCACGGCUAACUACGUGCCAGCAGCCGCGGUAAUACGUAGGUGGCAAGCGUUGUCUGGAUUUAUUGGGCGUAAAGCGAGCGCAGGCGGUCAAUUAAGUCUGAUGUGAAAGCCCCCGGCUCAACCGGGGAUGGUCAUUGGAAACGGGUUGACUUGAGUGCGGAAGUGGAGAGUGGACUUCCAUGUGUAGCGGUGAAAUGCGUAGAUAUAUGGAGGAACACCAGUGGCGAAGGCGACUCUCUGGUCUGUGACUGACGCUGAGGCUCGAAAGCGUGGGUAGCAAACAGG
RNAcentral lists this ribosomal RNA (429 nucleotides) under Bacteroidota bacterium. RNAcentral describes it as "Bacteroidetes bacterium partial 16S ribosomal RNA". It matches the Rfam family "Bacterial small subunit ribosomal RNA", at positions 355 to 776 of the family's 1533-position model. The record is from RNAcentral. Lineage: Bacteria; Pseudomonadati; Bacteroidota.